UACGUAGGGUGCAAGCGUUGUUCGGAAUCAUUGAGCGUAAAGCGCGUGUAGGUGGCUAGUUAAGUUGGAUGUGAAAUCCCUGGGCUCAACCGAGGAAGUGCAUUCAAAACUGGCUGGCUAGAGGAUGGUAGAGGAAGGUGGAAUUCCAAGUGUAGAGGUGAAAUUCGUAGAUAUUUGGAGGAAUACCGGCGGCGAAGGCGGCCUUCUGGGCCAUUCCUGACACUGAGACGCGAAAGCGUGGGGAGCAAACAGG
Molecule: ribosomal RNA, 253 nt
Filed under: uncultured bacterium
Lineage: Bacteria
Description: partial 16S ribosomal RNA
Rfam family: Bacterial small subunit ribosomal RNA
Source: RNAcentral